GACGAACGCUGGCGGCGUGCUUAACACAUGCAAGUCGAACGGAAAGGCCCUGCUUUUGUGGGGUGCUCGAGUGGCGAACGGGUGAGUAACACGUGAGUAACCUGCCCUUGACUUUGGGAUAACUUCAGGAAACUGGGGCUAAUACCGGAUAGGAGCUCCUGCUGCAUGGUGGGGGUUGGAAAGUUUCGGCGGUUGGGGAUGGACUCGCGGCUUAUCAGCUUGUUGGUGGGGUAGUGGCUUACCAAGGCUUUGACGGGUAGCCGGCCUGAGAGGGUGACCGGCCACAUUGGGACUGAGAUACGGACCAGACGCCAACGGGAGGCAGUAGUGGGGAAUAUUGCACAAUGGGCGGGAGCCUAAUGCAGCAACGCCGCGUGUGGGAUGACGGCCUUCGGGGUGUAAACCGCUUUCGCCUGUGACGAAGCGUGAGUGACGGUAAUGGGUAAAGAAGCACCGGCUAACUACGUG
Molecule: ribosomal RNA, 468 nt
Filed under: uncultured bacterium
Lineage: Bacteria
Description: partial 16S ribosomal RNA
Rfam family: Bacterial small subunit ribosomal RNA
Source: RNAcentral